CCCUUAGAUGUCCGGGGCCGCACGCGCGCUACACUGAAGGAAUCAGCGUGGCUUUCUCCCUGACCCGAAAGGGUUGGGAAACCCGUUGAAUCUCCUUCGUGAUAGGGAUUGGGGCUUGAAAUUGUUCCCCAUGAACGAGGAAUUCCCAGUAAGCGCGAGUCAUAAGCUCGCGUUGAUUACGUCCCUGCCCUUUGUAAACACCGCCCGUCGCUACUACCGAUUGAACGGUUUAGUGAGGGCCUCGGAUUGGUCUCGGCCCGCUCUUUACCGGGCGGCGCCGUUGGUCGAGAAGACGCUCGAACUUGAUCGUUUAGAGGAAGUAAAAGUCGUAACA
RNAcentral lists this ribosomal RNA (334 nucleotides) under uncultured eukaryote. RNAcentral describes it as "partial 18S ribosomal RNA". It matches the Rfam family "Eukaryotic small subunit ribosomal RNA", at positions 1470 to 1796 of the family's 1831-position model. The record is from RNAcentral.